Molecule: ribosomal RNA, 292 nt
Filed under: uncultured bacterium
Lineage: Bacteria
Description: partial 16S ribosomal RNA
Rfam family: Bacterial small subunit ribosomal RNA
Source: RNAcentral
GUGUCAGCCGCCGCGGUAAUACGGGGGGGGCAAGCGUUGUUCGGAAUUACUGGGCGUAAAGGGCGCGUAGGCGGUGCUCUAAGUUAGAUGUGAAAACUCUGGGCUCAACCCAGAGCCUGCAUCUAAAACUGGAGUGCUAGAGUUCUGGAGGGGGUAGCGGAAUUCCUGGUGUAGCGGUGAAAUGCGUAGAUAUCAGGAGGAACACCGGUGGCGAAGGCGGCUACCUGGACAGAAACUGACGCUGAGGCGCGAAAGCUAGGGGAGCAAACAGGAUUAGAAACCCCUGUAGUCC